CACCUCUCAGGGUGGCACCUGGAGAGUUUCCAGUACUCUACCAGUCUUGACUAUGGGAGGGAGAGUCCAGCAGAAGCCAACCUAUUCCGUUCCUAGCUUGGGCAGUGGCUAACAAGUGGAAGGCAAUCUGCUACAAGU
Molecule: small nucleolar RNA, 138 nt
Organism: Ornithorhynchus anatinus (platypus)
Lineage: Eukaryota; Metazoa; Chordata; Mammalia; Monotremata; Ornithorhynchidae
Source: RefSeq, a predicted model, not a curated record